AUGAGUCGACCUGAUGGGAUCAACAUCCCCGACGGCAAGUUCUACCUUGGAGAUGCUGGCUAUGCAUGUCGGCCGGGUAUUCUUCCACCCUUCAGGAAAACCAGGUACCAUCUCAACGAGUUCUCUGGUAGGAACUAUCCUAGGACUGCACAGGAGCUGUUUAAUCUCAGACACUCCAGCCUUAGAGUAACUGUUGAGAGGGCAUUUGGAGCUCUGAAGAAUAGGUUUAAGAUCCUGGAUCAGAAGCCAUUCCACCCAUACUCCACUCAGGUUAAGCUUGUUCUUGCUUGUUGCAUUCUGCAUAACUGGAUCCUCCAGUGGGGCUUUGAUGAACACGUGCCUGGGGAGGAAGAGGUCGAGCCUGACGAUAUUGUUAGCUCCGGCCAUGGUGUGGAGGCAUUUGACAAUGACGCUUGGAAGAACAAAAGGUUGGAGUGGGCAGAGGCAAUGUGGCUUAACAGAGGUCAGUGCAGAAGAAGA
This 480-nucleotide ribosomal RNA is filed under the name Triticum aestivum (bread wheat). RNAcentral describes it as "partial small subunit ribosomal RNA". Lineage: Eukaryota; Viridiplantae; Streptophyta; Magnoliopsida; Poales; Poaceae. The record is from RNAcentral.